UGUAAGUGCAGCCAUAAAGUUUCGUGUUCAACUUUGAUCAUCUGUCUUAUUUAAUUUUUUUUUAUGAUUAGCAUUUUUAUUGUUAUUAGAUGAUGAAAUAUGAAUAGCUUAUAUUUUUUAUUUUUUUUAAAAAAAAUAAUUAAGAUGAACUAUUAAAGUUGAACAAAAAACUUAUUACUGUACUUAAA
Non-coding RNA from Oryza glaberrima (African rice), 188 nucleotides. The record is from Rfam. Lineage: Eukaryota; Viridiplantae; Streptophyta; Magnoliopsida; Poales; Poaceae.